This is a long non-coding RNA of Mesocricetus auratus (golden hamster), 1198 nucleotides long. RefSeq lists it as uncharacterized. The transcript has 4 exons. Lineage: Eukaryota; Metazoa; Chordata; Mammalia; Rodentia; Cricetidae. The record is from RefSeq and is a predicted model, not a curated record.
CCCCGGGAAACAGUGCCCAGCUCUCCACUCCAACCUUCCCCCACCUGGGUAGCAAAGGUGUGCUAUUUAUGCGCAGAGCUGAGGAACAAAGCCGAACCGCACACAACCAGACCCACAACGAGUUAAGAGGGGCUUGAACGCCCUCCAAAGGCAGAGGCUCCAUCUCCCCUCCUGAGACGCGACGAAAGUUGUUACGGUACAUAGACAGCAACUCCUAAACUCGAAUUUCAGCCUCAGAGACCCAGAACCCGGUGGCUACUCAGUCCACGAGGCUGGGUGUCUCUCAGCAGUGCCAAUCUGGUCCCCAAGCCUGGGAGGAGUCCCCGCAGAGCCGCCGGUUCUCAGUCCAUCCUGGAAGCCGAGGAGAGCUGGUUCCCACAUUAUGGAAGAACUCAGCAGCAACAGGGUGAAUUAACCAGGCAGCCGGAGGGCAGGCCAAGUGGGCAAGCGAGAGUAACCUUGCAGUCUCCCUAACUUCCGCAUCCUUUUUCAUCCGGGCCAGCCACGUUCCAGGUAUCUUUAACUGACAUGGGGUAUCUUCACUGUGUGAAAGCAAAGAUGAGUUGGAUUUGAGAAGAAAGAUCACAGCUGAGCUUUUUAUGUCACUAAGCUUCUGAAAACCUUGAAUCAUUUGCAUGAAGAUGAAAACUAGACAGAACUGUAGGCUGGUGCUUGCGGAAACUGUCUGUCGAAGAUGAAUAGAAGAGAUCAAACCUGGAGGAGGCAAGGUUGAUGUUGGAGUGGUGAGAAGAGGAGCAGGAAGAAGGGACAGCCGGACAACAAGGCCAGCAAUGGCUCCCACAGUGAGUGAGACAUGGCUCAUGAAUGCAGAGCCAUUAACGGCCAAGGGAGCCAAGAAUUUUCCUCUGGAUUGGAUGUGGUUUGACCUCCAUCCAUCUGUGUGCUGGAACCCUGACCUUCAGUCUGGUAGAAUUCAUAAGAGAUAGAGUUCUGUGGGAGAUCCUUAGACAUUGCCCCACUCCCCCAGAAAGGAUUAAGACAUUUCUCUGGGGAAUCCAGGCAAAUUCUCUCUAGGGGACAUUGUUAUAAGCAGUCUGAUCACCGUCCUGCUCAACCUGUCCUGCACCAAGAAAUGAUCCCUUCCCUGAUACAUGUUCUACCGUGUGUCAUGAGGACCGUGCAAAACAUUCACUAUUUACACUUUCAGCCGGCAGACCAGUGAGCUAAAUAAACCUGU